UUAAUUGAAGCCAAAAAGAGGCUUAUCACUGUUAAUGAUAGAACUGAAAAAAUUUUCCAAUUAAA
This 65-nucleotide transfer RNA is filed under the name Ceratitis rosa (Natal fruit fly). RNAcentral's name for it is "tRNA-Asn". The record is from RNAcentral. RNAcentral also lists the same sequence under 2 other names. Lineage: Eukaryota; Metazoa; Arthropoda; Insecta; Diptera; Tephritidae.